Callithrix jacchus (white-tufted-ear marmoset) is the source of this 618-nucleotide non-coding RNA. Lineage: Eukaryota; Metazoa; Chordata; Mammalia; Primates; Cebidae. The record is from RefSeq and is a predicted model, not a curated record.
UCUUUCUCGGAUUUCGGUUUUCUCAGCCCGGGUCUCAUCUUCAUGCAUUGCUGAACAAGGCUGAUUUGGUGAAGAGUUAAUACUACAAAGCAGCUGAAGGAAAGACUCCUUUGCAAGGGAACAAAUCACAAGACAAGAUGAAGAUCCUAGUCCUGACUAUGACCAUCUUAGAUUUUAUGGUUUACUUCCUGGCAGACUCCAAAGCAACUCAGAGUCUUGAACACGUCUUCCCAUCCACUGGCAGAUCUAAACCAUUCUUUGCCCCUAAUCUUGCUACAUACAUCCAAAAUGCCAAAAACAAGUUCACUCCCUCAGCAGAUGAGAAUACCAUUGCCAAAUCAAAUAAAACAACCUCCUUGGAACUAGUACCACUACUCAUAAAGAAGAGGCAGGACCAGACGGUAUGUUCUUUUUUUUUAUACUUCAGCCCUUAUGUCAGAAGCCAAUACAGCAAAAAUUGAUACCACAGACAUUCUACAGGAAGAUCGUACAGCUCAGCUUGAUAUGCCUGAUCUCGAGGACAACAAGAUAAUUAUCACUGAUACUACUUACAUGGAAAGAUAUAGCAAAACUGCAAACAAUGAGCCUGACCUUACAAAAAAAGACAAUUCUAUCAGA